CUGUUCAAUUUUGGUUUACCGUGUAUGCCCAACAGUUUGUUCGUUUUAUCGUUGUGGCGUUUAGAGACACCUAGUGGUAGGAAUCGGUAUGUCCGCUCGAGUACUAAAACGAUAACCUUUAAAAAGCACGUACAUUGCAUACCCGCAGGCGGAAUUCUUUAUGCGCUUUUCUUUCGUACUCGAAUGAUUUGGAAAUUCGAGAAGAAGUGCUAGACUAUGGAAAGACAACCCGAAACCGGAAACCCUUUUUCCAGCCAAUCAAAAUUCACUAUAAAUUUCAAAAGAAAAACCGGAAACCAUAUUUGAACCAAUCAGAAAUCAGGAAAGUAGACAGUACUGAUCAGUGGGCUGAACCUAUAAAAGGGGUUGGGGCACUCAUAUCAAACUCUCUUUACUCUGGUGGAAACCGUUGUUCAAGGUGGUUGAUUUGAAAACGUAAAAGUGUUAGUUGUUGAAUCUUAAAACGGUUAAUUGAUUUUUUGAAUAGUUUAUUCGGAAGUGGUUCAAUAACGUCAAAAAGAGUGUGAAGUAAAAUCGGCCGUACUUAAAGGUGGCUAAACCCAUUCAACGUGGGUGUUUGUCUGGAGCCCAAAGUACGUGGCCGUCCCACGCUCGGUCGUCGCUAACUGGCAAGCAGCUGUCCACCACCCACGAUUCCGGGACAAUUUUCCCGAAGAAUCUGCUGUGCGGCCUCUUAGAAUACGGCGAUUCCCGAACCGCUCCGAGGAACAGAAGUGCGUCGACGCCACGUGAAGCCAUCCUUCGUUGGAACCCCAAGCCAGCUGGCCAGCAAGUAAGCCCGUUUUAGUUUUGUGCACUCGAAGAAGAA
Aedes albopictus (Asian tiger mosquito) is the source of this 829-nucleotide long non-coding RNA. RefSeq lists it as uncharacterized. The record is from RefSeq and is a predicted model, not a curated record. NCBI's taxonomy places the organism in Eukaryota, Metazoa, Arthropoda, Insecta, Diptera, Culicidae. The transcript has 2 exons.